CUAAUACAUGCAAGUCGAGCGCGGGAAGCAAGCGGAUCCCCUUCGGGGGUGAAGCUUGUGGAACGAGCGGCGGACGGGUGAGUAACACGUGGGCAACCUGCCUGUAAGACCGGAAUAACCCCGGGAAACCGGGGCUAAUGCCGGGUAACACCUACCUUCGCAUGAAGGAAGGUUAAAAGAUGGCUUCUUGCUAUCACUUACAGAUGGGCCCGCGGCGCAUUAGCUAGUUGGUGAGGUAACAGCUCACCAAGGCGACGAUGCGUAGCCGACCUGAGAGGGUGAUCGGCCACACUGGGACUGAGACACGGCCCAGACUCCUACGGGAGGCAGCAGUAGGGAAUCUUCCGCAAUGGACGAAAGUCUGACGGAGCAACGCCGCGUGAACGAUGAAGGUCUUCGGAUCGUAAAGUUCUGUUGUUAGGGAAGAACAAGUACCGUGCGAAUAGAGCGGUACCUUGACGGUACCUAACGAGGAAGCCCCGGCUAACUACGUGCCAGCAGCCGCGGUAAUACGUAGGGGGCAAGCGUUGUCCGGAAUUAUUGGGCGUAAAGCGCGCGCAGGCGGUUUCUUAAGUCUGAUGUGAAAGCCCACGGCUCAACCGUGGAGGGUCAUUGGAAACUGGGGAACUUGAGGACAGAAGAGGAGAGUGGAAUUCCACGUGUAGCGGUGAAAUGCGUAGAUAUGUGGAGGAACACCAGUGGCGAAGGCGACUCUCUGGUCUGUUUCUGACGCUGAGGUGCGAAAGCGUGGGUAGCAAACAGGAUUAGAUACCCUGGUAGUCCACGCCGUAAACGAUGAGUGCUAGGUGUUAGGGGGCUUCCACCCCUUAGUGCUGAAGUUAACGCAUUAAGCACUCCGCCUGGGGAGUAC
Molecule: ribosomal RNA, 871 nt
Filed under: Halobacillus sp. JSM 077029
Lineage: Bacteria; Bacillati; Bacillota; Bacilli; Caryophanales; Bacillaceae
Description: bacterial SSU rRNA
Rfam family: Bacterial small subunit ribosomal RNA
Source: RNAcentral